UACGUAGGGGGCUAGCGUUGUCCGGAAUCAUUGGGCGUAAAGCGCGUGUAGGCGGCCCGGUAAGUCCGCUGUGAAAGUCGGGGGCUCAACCCUCGGAUGCCGGUGGAUACUGUCGGGCUAGAGUACGGAAGAGGCGAGUGGAAUUCCUGGUGUAGCGGUGAAAUGCGCAGAUAUCAGGAGGAACACCAAUGGCGAAGGCAGCUCUCUGGGACGGUACUGACGCUGAGACGCGAAAGCGUGGGGAGCGAACAGG
This 253-nucleotide ribosomal RNA is filed under the name uncultured bacterium. Its description in RNAcentral is "partial 16S ribosomal RNA". It matches the Rfam family "Bacterial small subunit ribosomal RNA", at positions 524 to 776 of the family's 1533-position model. The record is from RNAcentral.